AAAGAUGAUCACUUACAACUCUCUGAUCCUCAGCAUCAUCAUCAUCCUCCUCCUCCUUCAUUUAAUAAUGGGGGAGGGUUGUUAAACUCUCCAUACCCCUCCUCCUCCUCAAAACGAGUAAGAUC
RNAcentral lists this non-coding RNA (125 nucleotides) under Bigelowiella natans. The record is from RNAcentral. Lineage: Eukaryota; Cercozoa; Chlorarachniophyceae.